UUUAUCUUUAUGGUAAAUGUGAGAUGCAGUGUAUGGAAUGUCAAAUUUCUUGUAUGAGAAGUUAACGAUUUAAGUCCUUCUUAAAUGAGGCCAUUUACCCAUAGAGGGUGCCAGGCCCGUAUAACGUUAAUGAUUACUAGAUGACAUUUCCAAAGAGUCGUGUUGCUUGAUAGUGCAGCACUAAGUGGGUGGUAAACUCCAUCUAAAACUAAAUAUAACCAUGAGACCGAUAGUAAACAAGUACCGUGAGGGAAAGUUGAAAAGAACUCUGAAUAGAGAGUUAAAUAGUACGUGAAACUGCUUAGAGGUUAAGCCCGAUGAACCUGAAUAUCCAUUAUAGAAAAUUCAUCAUUAUGAUUUUAAUAUAUUAUAAUAGUGGUGUGCAUUUUUUCUAUAAAAUGACAUUGUAAUUUAUUAACAUAAAAUUUAUCAUAAGAUCAGCGAAAGUUUAUUCAAAUUAUUUUGCUUGCGAUUUAACAUAGAAUAAAUGCUCCUGAUUUGAUAAAGUGUUGAUAGACUUAUUGUACAGUGCAUAAAUAAUAUUUUAUAAUAUCAUAUAAAUUAUUAAUUUUUAUGUUUAUUUUAAGCACUUAUACGAUUAACAAUGCGAAAGAUUCAGGAUACCUUCGGGACCCGUCUUGAAACACGGACCAAGGAGUCUAACAUAUUUGCAAGUUAUUGGGAGAAACCUAAUAGCGAAAUUAACAUAACAUAAUGGUAUUAAUUUUUAGCCAGGCUAUUAAUUCAAUUCCGGGGCGUUCUGUAUGGUUAUGUAUAAUAAUAUUUAUAUUAUUUAUAUCUCUAACUAGAGCGUACCUUGAGCAUAUAUGCUGUGACCCGAAAGAUGGUGAACUAUACUUGAUCAGGUCGAAGUCAGGGGAAACCCUGAUGGAAGACCGAAACAGUUCUGACGUGCAAAUCGAUUGUCAGAAUUGAGUAUAGGGGCGAAAGACCAAUCGAACCAUCUAGUAGCUGGUUCCCUCCGAAGUUUCUCUCAGGAUAGCUGGAGCAUUUAAAAAUUAUGUAAAAUAAUCUUAUCUGGUAAAGCGAAUGAUUAGAGGCCUUAGGGUCGAAACGAUCUUAACCUAUUCUCAAACUUUAAAUGGGUAAGAACCUCACCUUUCUUGGUAUGAAGGUUGUGGUUGUGAUAUAAUGUGCCUAGUGGGCCACUUUUGGUAAGCAGAACUGGCGCUGUGGGAUGAACCAAACGUAAUGUUACGGUGCCCAAAUUAACAACUCAUGCAGAUACCAUGAAAGGCGUU
This 1262-nucleotide ribosomal RNA is filed under the name Phantasiomyia sp. OH21-09-12-002. Its description in RNAcentral is "partial 28S ribosomal RNA". It matches the Rfam family "Eukaryotic large subunit ribosomal RNA", at positions 120 to 1225 of the family's 3401-position model. Lineage: Eukaryota; Metazoa; Arthropoda; Insecta; Diptera; Tachinidae. The record is from RNAcentral.